RNAcentral lists this ribosomal RNA (253 nucleotides) under uncultured bacterium. RNAcentral's name for it is "partial 16S ribosomal RNA". It matches the Rfam family "Bacterial small subunit ribosomal RNA", at positions 524 to 776 of the family's 1533-position model. The record is from RNAcentral.
UACGGAGGGUGCAAGCGUUGUCCGGAUUUAUUGGGUUUAAAGGGUGCGUAGGCGGCCCGGUAAGUCAGUGGUGAAAGCCUCCAGCUCAACUGGAGAACUGCCAUUGAUACUGUCGGGCUUGAGUACAGACGAGGUUGGCGGAAUUGACGGUGUAGCGGUGAAAUGCAUAGAUAUCGUCAAGAACACCGAUAGCGAAGGCAGCUUACUGGGCUGUAACUGACGCUGAGGCACGAAAGUGUGGGGAUCAAACAGG